UCGAAAUUAAAUUUAGUGAUCUAGUCGUCUGAAAAGGUAGAGAGACUGUCGCUGGCUAUUUGUUUAGCAUGUGCACGUCCCCUCACUUUUUCUAGAUUCUAGACUAGAUCAUCUAUACCACACACACCUGUGCACCUAUUGUAGAUCCCCUGAGAGGGGGAACUAUGUUUUCAUUAUAUCACACACACAUUGUAUGUCGAGAAUGUAAAACGAAACAAUAUA
RNAcentral lists this unclassified non-coding RNA (222 nucleotides) under uncultured fungus. RNAcentral describes it as "sequence contains ITS1, 5.8S rRNA gene". RNAcentral also lists the same sequence under 1 other name. The record is from RNAcentral. Lineage: Eukaryota; Fungi.